UUUCAAAAUAUUCUCACAUUCAUGUUCUUAUGUGUUUCUUUUGACUUUUUACAUUGAUCCAUAUUUCAAGAUGAUUAUCACAUUAAGGUUCUUCUGUGUUACUUUUGCCCAAGUUGGGAUAGCU
Molecule: long non-coding RNA, 124 nt
Organism: Dipodomys ordii (Ord's kangaroo rat)
Lineage: Eukaryota; Metazoa; Chordata; Mammalia; Rodentia; Heteromyidae
Exons: 3
Source: RefSeq, a predicted model, not a curated record